This 443-nucleotide ribosomal RNA is filed under the name uncultured bacterium. Its description in RNAcentral is "partial 16S ribosomal RNA". It matches the Rfam family "Bacterial small subunit ribosomal RNA", at positions 338 to 795 of the family's 1533-position model. The record is from RNAcentral.
CCUACGGGAGGCAGCAGUGGGGAAUAUUGGGCAAUGGAGGCAACUCUGACCCAGCAACGCCGCGUGAAUGAUGAAGGUCUUCGGAUUGUAAAGUUCUGUGAUGGGGGAUGAACACAAUGACGGUACCCCAAUAGCAAGCCACGGCUAACUACGUGCCAGCAGCCGCGGUAAUACGUAGGUGGCAAGCGUUAUCCGGAAUGACUGGGCGUAAAGGGUGCGUAGGUGGUUUAGUAAGUUGGCGGUGUAAUUCCGGGGCUCAACCUCGGCGCUACCGCCAAAACUAUUAGACUAGAGUGCAGGGGGGGUAAGUGGAAUUCCUAGUGUAGCGGUGGAAUGCGUAGAUAUUAGGAGGAACAUCAGGGGCGAAGGCGACUUACUGGACUGUAACUGACACUGAGGCACGAGAGCGUGGGGAGCAAACAGGAUUAGAUACCCCAGUAGUC